CCCACGCAUUCAACACCCCACUGAAAACCACUGCUCAUUCUCCAUUUUUUCAAAAACCCACCACACGCGAGAGAAAGAGGGGGCUUGAAGGAACAAGAUCUGGUGGCAGCUAAUGACGACGAUGAUGGUGGAUUGAUGGUAAUAGUGAGGGUUUACAACUGAGACAAAAAUCAGCCACUUGAUGUAGGGUUUCAUGAAGGAUUGGUUGUCUGGUAAGAGUUCCGGUGACCUCCCUGCAGAAACAACCAACAGUGGAGAGUACAAGGGUAUUUGUAGGGGAUUGCGACCAGUGGUUCCAUUCCAUGGGGUGAUUGGUAGAUUUGGAUGGCUGUUGGCGCUGAUUGGUUUACCUUGGCGGUUCCCAUUAGAAAUCCACCAAACCCACCGCAAAGAUGUCCGAUUUCCUUUUCUGCACACAAUUUACAAAGGGGUUUUCACAUUAAUAAUAUUCUCCAAUCUUUUUGUUUGAUUUGCAUAGGCGACAAACAUGGGUUUAGGAACAUAUUUAACACGAUUUCAAUUCAAACAAGGAACACAAUCAUCCUAGAACAACUUCUGCAGUGCAACCCAGCAAAACACUUGCAACUACGCUUUCUUUGCACUGCCUCAAUUACUAGCUGGGAUGAACAGACAACUAUACUUCAUUUAAAGUUGUUCUCAUAUGAUCUAUCUGUAUAGGUAGGUUUGUGCUACGGAUCCUCUAUGGAACACAAAUCGGAUUCUUCGUCUUGGGAGCUAGCUUUGUUGCAUUAGAGUGAAAAGAGUUGUUGUUUGAUGCAGAGACAGAGUUUGCAACAACGCCUUUGGUAGUGGCUUCCUUGGUGGAGGAAGAAGCGAAAAUCUGAACAAGGUUUAGGGUAGGCCAUACCAGAGUUGCAUGAUCUUCUUCAGGGCAUCAAACAAGCUGGAGCAGCUCUGCCAACCCGGCCAAAUGCAAACCUUUGAAUCUUUUUACUUGGUAUGGGCGUCAGAUGUUCAUUAGUUUAGUCCGCACAACUAGCAACAGCUUCGCCAACCCGGCCAAAUGCAAACCUUUGAAUCUUUUUACUCGGUAUGGGCGUCAGAUGUUCAUUAAUGGUAUUUUCAUUUUCUUUAAAAAUUUGGAAUAUCUUAAAUUAUAAAACUGUUAACUUUGGGGUGGAGUCUUCCUGGCAUGAGUGGGAAUGCACCUAUGGAUGCUACUAGCAAUCUGUAUUUCAUGCGCAACAACCAACAGUUUCAAGCAUUUUUAUGUAAUAGUGCAAGCUAAUCCACACAUCUUGCAGGUAUUGAAUGACACUCUCUUUUAUAUAUAUAUUUUUAUGUGUGUGUAUGAAUAUGUGCACAACCAAUGCUCCAAGAGUUGGGAAAGCAAGAUUUUCAGCUGGUGCCUCCGGCUAAUUUUCUUCCCUCAAUUAACGAGCCCGCUGAAGGAGAAGAUUGGUUGUUAAGGAGAUUGCUGAACAGACCAUGAAAAAGCGAGCCAUGGUUGAAAGGUUGAAGUGUUUGAAGAAAAGAAGACCUGUUAAAGCUUCAACACCACCAACAUCAUCGAAUAUUAGCAUAUUUGCUAUGGCCAUCGCAGUUCUUUUUUCAUUGUCUUGUCAUUUUUCAAGGUAAACAUAUCUUAGGCAUGUGCUAUGAUUAAUAUUCAUUAAUCUCGAUGAUUGGAUGUAUUAGAAUUCUCUUUUGUGGAGACUCCUUUUUCAUAUAUUGAUGUCGAUUGGUACAUUUUUUUUGUGUUU
Helianthus annuus (common sunflower) is the source of this 1724-nucleotide long non-coding RNA. RefSeq lists it as uncharacterized. NCBI's taxonomy places the organism in Eukaryota, Viridiplantae, Streptophyta, Magnoliopsida, Asterales, Asteraceae. The transcript has 5 exons. The record is from RefSeq and is a predicted model, not a curated record.